RNAcentral lists this ribosomal RNA (254 nucleotides) under uncultured bacterium. RNAcentral's name for it is "partial 16S ribosomal RNA". It matches the Rfam family "Bacterial small subunit ribosomal RNA", at positions 524 to 776 of the family's 1533-position model. The record is from RNAcentral.
UACGUAGGGUGCGAGCGUUAAUCGGAAUUACUGGGCGUAAAGUGUGCGCAGGCGGCUCUGCAAGUCGAGUGUGAAAUCCCCGAGCUUAACUUGGGAAUUGCGCUCGAAACUAUGGAGCUGGAGUGUGGCAGAGGAAGGUGGAAUUCCACGUGUAGCGGUGAAAUGACAUAGAGAUGUGGAGGAACACCGAUGGCGAAGGCAGGUCUCUGGGCCACUACUGACGCUGAGAAGCGAAAGCAUGGGGAGCGAACAGG